AAGCAAGUAAAGGAAAAAAGAAAGUCGGUUGGUUGUCAAGAAAAGCCAGUAAAGAAAAGAAGACAGUCAGUUUCUUGUCUAUAAAAACCAGUAAAGGAAAGAAGACAGUCAGUUGCUUGACAAGAAAAGCCAGUAAAGGAACGACAGUCAGUUGCUUGGCAAGAAAAGCCAGUAAAGGAAAGAAGAUAGUCAGUUGCUUGUCAAGAAAAGCCAGUAAAGGAAAGAAGACAGUCAGUUUCUUGUCUAUAAAAACCAGUAAAGGAAAGAAGACAGUCAGUUGCUUGACAAGAAAAGCCAGUAAAGGAAAGACAACAGUCAGUUGCUUGUCUAGAAAAGCCAGUAAAGGAAAGAAGAUAGUCAGUUGCUUGUCAAGAAAAGCCAGUAAGGGAAAGAAGACAGUCGGCUGCUUGUCAAGAAAUACCACUAAACAAAAGAAGACA
This 440-nucleotide unclassified non-coding RNA is filed under the name Melitaea cinxia (Glanville fritillary). RNAcentral describes it as "misc RNA ENSMCXG00005007896.1". Lineage: Eukaryota; Metazoa; Arthropoda; Insecta; Lepidoptera; Nymphalidae. The record is from RNAcentral.